AUCAUUAAUGAUACUUGGAGAUUCUGAUGCUGGCGUUUACUCGCAUGUGCUCGAUCUCCUUAAUCCAUUCAACACCUGUGCACCUUUGUGAAGGAGAGCGAAAGUUCACCUUCAUUUUAUACAAACUCUUUAUUGAAAUCUGAAUGUUCAUUGGCCGAAAGGCUCUAAAAUAAAACAACUUUUAACAACGGAUCUCUUGGCUCUCGCAUCGAUGAAGAACGCAGCGAAAUGCGAUAAGUAAUGUGAAUUGCAGAAUUCAGUGAAUCAUCGAAUCUUUGAACGCACCUUGCGCUCCCUGGUAUUCCGGGGAGCACGCCUGUUCGAGUGUCAUGAAGCUCUCAAAUGGAGUCCUUUAUUGUGACUUUUCAUUUGGAUUUGGACUCUGCUGUAGUCAAAUACAGCUGGUCUUAAAAAUAUUAGCUUGGUCCUUGAUAAUCUUGGUUCUACUCGGCGUGAUAAUUAUCUAACGUUGAGGACAUUUCUUUAUUGAGAUGGCCAGAAUUGUUUAAGAGCUGCUUCUAAUCGUCUUCGGACAUAACAUUUUCAAAUCUGACCUCGAAUCAGUGGGACUACCCGCUGAACUU
This 584-nucleotide ribosomal RNA is filed under the name uncultured fungus. RNAcentral's name for it is "eukaryotic LSU rRNA". The stretch from base 177 to 330 matches the Rfam family "5.8S ribosomal RNA". Lineage: Eukaryota; Fungi. The record is from RNAcentral.